RNAcentral lists this ribosomal RNA (519 nucleotides) under uncultured bacterium. Its description in RNAcentral is "bacterial SSU rRNA". It matches the Rfam family "Bacterial small subunit ribosomal RNA", at positions 1 to 507 of the family's 1533-position model. The record is from RNAcentral.
GGAUUAAAGUUUGAUCAUGGCUCAGGCAUGAGCGGUAGCGGCGUGCCUAAUACAUGCAAGUCGAGCGAAUGGAUUAAGAGCUUGCUCUUAUGAAGUUAGCGGCGGACGGGUGAGUAACACGUGGGUAACCUGCCCAUAAGACUGGGAUAACUCCGGGAAACCGGGGCUAAUACCGGAUAACAUUUUGCACUGCAUGGUGCGAAAUUGAAAGGCGGCUUCGGCUGUCACUUAUGGAUGGACCCGCGUCGCAUUAGCUAGUUGGUGAGGUAACGGCUCACCAAGGCAACGAUGCGUAGCCGACCUGAGAGGGUGAUCGGCCACACUGGGACUGAGACACGGCCCAGACUCCUACGGGAGGCAGCAGUAGGGAAUCUUCCGCAAUGGACGAAAGUCUGACGGAGCAACGCCGCGUGAGUGAUGAACGCGCUUUNCGGGUCGUAAAACUACUGUUGUUAGGGAAGAACAAGUGCUAGUUGAAUAAGGCUGGCACCUUGAACGGGUUACCCUUUAAACCCCAGG